RNAcentral lists this ribosomal RNA (607 nucleotides) under Bacillus altitudinis. RNAcentral describes it as "bacterial SSU rRNA". It matches the Rfam family "Bacterial small subunit ribosomal RNA", at positions 828 to 1456 of the family's 1533-position model. Lineage: Bacteria; Bacillati; Bacillota; Bacilli; Caryophanales; Bacillaceae. The record is from RNAcentral.
GGGGUUCGCCCUUAUGCUGCACUACGCAUAAGCAUCGCCUGGGAGUACGUCGCAAGACUGAACUCAAAGAUGACGGGGCCCGCCCAAGCGGUGGAGCAUGUGGUUUAUUCGAAGCAACGCGAAGAACCUUACCAGUCUGACAUCCUCUGACAACCCUAGAGAUAGGGCUUUCCCUUCGGGACAGAGUGACAGGUGGUGCAUGGUGUCGUCAGCUCGUGUCGUGAGAUGUUGGGUUAAGUCCCGCAACGAGCGCAACCCUUGAUCUUAGUUGCCAGCAUUUAGUUGGGCACUCUAAGGUGACUGCCGGUGACAAACCGGAGGAAGGUGGGGAUGACGUCAAAUCAUCAUGCCCCUUAUGACCUGGGCUACACACGUGCUACAAUGGACAGAACAAAGGGCUGCGAGACCGCAAGGUUUAGCCAAUCCCAUAAAUCUGUUCUCAGUUCGGAUCGCAGUCUGCAACUCGACUGCGUGAAGCUGGAAUCGCUAGUAAUCGCGGAUCAGCAUGCCGCGGUGAAUACGUUCCCGGGCCUUGUACACACCGCCCGUCACACCACGAGAGUUUGUAACACCCGAAGUCGGUGAGGUAACCUUAUGAGCCAGCCGC